GUCCCGUUCGUCUAGCCAGGUUUAGGACACUUGGAUUUCAUCCAAGAGACAGAGGUUCGAAUCCUUUACGGGACG
RNAcentral lists this transfer RNA (75 nucleotides) under Verrucomicrobiia bacterium DG1235. RNAcentral's name for it is "Verrucomicrobiae bacterium DG1235 tRNA". It matches the Rfam family "tRNA". Rfam says of the family: Transfer RNA (tRNA) molecules are approximately 80 nucleotides in length. Lineage: Bacteria; Pseudomonadati; Verrucomicrobiota; Verrucomicrobiia. RNAcentral also lists the same sequence under 4 other names. The record is from Rfam by way of RNAcentral.